CACAUACACCUCGCACUAAGGGCAUCAUACAACAUUUUGAAAGGAAAGUGAAGCUGCACACAGAGGGACUUGAUAACGACUUGCAGGUGACAAAUGAAAAGCUGGGGCAGUUGGAGACUACGCAGAUUGCCACAAACAACAAGCUCACACGUUUGGAGGAAUCCGUUGCUAGUGUGGACAAAAGCCUUGCUGCUCUCCUAAGGCGAUUUGAUGAUUUCCACACCGAAGAUAAAGAGAAGCAUAAAGAAGAAAAGGAGGGAGAUCGAGAGCACGGUAGUCAUGAAGAUGACUACACUGGUGAUACUGAACAUGCUGAUCAAGACACUCGUGAUCGACGUCGCCUUCGUCACAACCGUAGAGGUAUGGGUGGCAACCGCCGACGCGAGGUGCACAAUAAUGAUGAUGCUUUCAGUAAGAUUAAAUUUAAGAUACCUCCUUUUGAUGGUAAAUAUGACCC
This 457-nucleotide long non-coding RNA is filed under the name Sorghum bicolor (sorghum). Its description in RNAcentral is "long non-coding RNA (SBIC_LNC008932)". The record is from RNAcentral. Lineage: Eukaryota; Viridiplantae; Streptophyta; Magnoliopsida; Poales; Poaceae.